Nomascus leucogenys (northern white-cheeked gibbon) is the source of this 924-nucleotide RNA transcript. It is a transcript of the gene named 60S ribosomal protein L27a pseudogene, with no coding region annotated. The transcript has a single exon. Lineage: Eukaryota; Metazoa; Chordata; Mammalia; Primates; Hylobatidae. The record is from RefSeq and is a predicted model, not a curated record.
UAAGCUAUGAGGAUGCAAAGGCAUAAGAACGACACUGUGGACUUUGGGGACUCAGGGGGAAAGGGUAGGAAAGGGAUGAGGGACAAAAGACUAAAAAUUGGGUUCAGUGUAUACUCUUCGGGUGAUGGGUGCACCAAAAUCUCACAAGUCACCACUAAAGAACUUACUCAUGUAACCAAACACCACCUGUUCCCCCAAAACUUAUGGAAAUUUAAAAAAAAAAAAACGGAAGCAGAAGUGGAGCUUUUAAAAGGAAUCAGUGGACCAGGCAUGGUGGCUCACACUUGUAAUCCUAGCACUCUGGGAGGCCAAGGCAGAAGGAUCAUUUGAGCUCAGGAGUUCAAGACAGCCUGGGCAACAUAUUAAGACUUCGUCUCGCUUUUUUUUCGUCUGGGCUGCCAACAUGCCAUCCAGACUGAGGAAGACCCGGAAACUUCGGGGCCACGUGAGCCACGGCCACGGCCGCAUAGGCAAGCACCGGAAGCAUCCCGGAGGCCGUGGUAAUGCUGGUGGUCUGCAUCACCACCGGAUCAACUUUGACAAAUACCACCCAGGCUACUUUGGGAAAGUUGGUAUGAAGCAUUCCCACUUAAAGAGGAACCAGAGCUUCUGUCCAACUGUCAACCUUGACAAAUUGUGGACUUUGGUCAGUGAACAGACACGGGUGAAUGCUGCUAAAAACAAGACUGGGGCUGCUCCCAUCAUUGAUGUGGUGCGAUUGGGCUACUACAAAGUUCUGGGAAAGGGAAAGCUCCCAAAGCAGCCUGUCAUCGUGAAGGCCAAAUUCUUCAGCAGAAGAGCUGAGGAGAAGAUUAAGAGUGUUGGGGGGGCCUGUGUCCUGGUGGCUUGAAGCCACAUGGAGGGAGUUUCAUUAAAUGCUAACUACUUUAAAAAAAAAAAAAAAAAAAAAAAAAAAAAAAAAAA